This 253-nucleotide ribosomal RNA is filed under the name uncultured bacterium. RNAcentral's name for it is "partial 16S ribosomal RNA". It matches the Rfam family "Bacterial small subunit ribosomal RNA", at positions 524 to 776 of the family's 1533-position model. The record is from RNAcentral.
UACGUAGGGUGCGAGCGUUAAUCGGAAUUAUUGGGCGUAAAGAGCUCGUAGGCGGUCUGUUGCGUCGGCUGUGAAAACCCGAGGCUCAACCUCGGGCCUGCAGUCGAUACGGGCAGACUAGAGUUCGGUAGGGGAGACUGGAAUUCCUGGUGUAGCGGCGAAAUGCGCAGAUAUCGGGAAGAACACCCGUGGCGAAGGCGGUUCUCUGGGACGGUACUGACGCUGAGACGCGAAAGCGUGGGGAGCGAACAGG